GCGGUAAUUCCAGCUCCAAUAGCGUAUAUUAAAGUUGUUGCAGUUAAAAAGCUCGUAGUUGAACUUUGGGCCCGGUUGGCCGGUCCGAUUUUUUCGUGUACUGGAUUUCCAACGGGGCCUUUCCUUCUGGCUAACCUUGAGUCCUUGUGGCUCUUGGCGAACCAGGACUUUUACUUUGAAAAAAUUAGAGUGUUCAAAGCAGGCGUAUUGCUCGAAUAUAUUAGCAUGGAAUAAUAGAAUAGGACGUUUGGUUCUAUUUUGUUGGUUUCUAGGACCAUCGUAAUGAUUAAUAGGGACGGUCGGGGGCAUCAGUAUUCAAUUGUCAGAGGUGAAAUUCUUGGAUUUAUUGAAGACUAACUACU
Molecule: ribosomal RNA, 362 nt
Filed under: Saccharomyces cerevisiae (brewer's yeast)
Lineage: Eukaryota; Fungi; Ascomycota; Saccharomycetes; Saccharomycetales; Saccharomycetaceae
Description: SSU rRNA
Rfam family: Eukaryotic small subunit ribosomal RNA
Source: RNAcentral